Molecule: ribosomal RNA, 741 nt
Filed under: uncultured organism
Description: bacterial SSU rRNA
Rfam family: Bacterial small subunit ribosomal RNA
Source: RNAcentral
GUGGAGCGGUGAAAUGCGUUGAUAUCGGAAGGAACGCCAAAAGCGAAAGCAGUCAACUACAAUAAAUCUGACGGUUCAGAGACGAAAGCUUGGGGAGCAAACGGGAUUAGAUACCCCGGUAGUCCAAGCCGUAAAUUAUGCAUGCUAGGUGUCUUGUUCACUUUAUGUGAGCGGGGUGCCGUAAUCUAACGAGUUAAGCAUACCGCCUGGGUAGUAUAUUCGCAAGAAUGAAACUCAAAGGGAUAGGCGGGGGAACACACAAGCAGUGGAUUGUCUCGAUUAAUUGGAUAAUAAGCCAAGAAUCUUACCUAGACUUGACAUAUAUUGUGUCCUACGUGAAAGUGUAGUAAUCCCGAUUUUGUCGGGAUACGAUUAUACAGGUGGUGCAUGGUCGUCGUCAGCUCGUGCCGCAAGAUGUCCAGUUAAGUCUGGGAACGAGCGCAACCCUCGUUGUUAGUUAGAAGGUCUAACAAGACUGCUCCGGCAACGGAGAGGAAGGAGAGGAUGACGUCAGAUCAUCAUGCCCCUUACGUCUAGGGCUUCAUAGACAAUACAAUGGAUAGUACAGCGAGAAGCGAUGCCGCGAGGCUAAGCAAAUCUCACAAAGCUAUCCCUAGUUCGGAUUGCAGUCUGGAACUCGACUGCAUGAAGUCGGAAUUGCUAGUAAUGGCGGGUCAGCAUACCGCCGUGAAUAUGUCCCUGUUCAUUGCACUCACCGCCCGUCAAACCAUGGGAGUUGAG